UUGAUACGUCUUGAAGCUUCACUCUCAUUACCUUCACCACGCUGGCCACACAAGGAAUCUAUCUCAUCAAUAAAAAUAAUUGAAGGAGCACUAUCACGUGCCAUUUGGAAAAGAUUGGACACAAGCUUUUCACUCUCACCCAUCCACUUUGAAACCAGGUCUGAAGAAGAAAUACUGAAAAAAGUCGAGUCUGCCUCAGUUGCAACUGCCUUGGCCAAGUAAGAC
RNAcentral lists this unclassified non-coding RNA (225 nucleotides) under Hevea brasiliensis (rubber tree). The record is from RNAcentral. Lineage: Eukaryota; Viridiplantae; Streptophyta; Magnoliopsida; Malpighiales; Euphorbiaceae.